This is a long non-coding RNA of Triticum aestivum (bread wheat), 777 nucleotides long. RefSeq lists it as uncharacterized. Lineage: Eukaryota; Viridiplantae; Streptophyta; Magnoliopsida; Poales; Poaceae. The record is from RefSeq and is a predicted model, not a curated record. The transcript has 2 exons.
GCCACUGGCUCCCAGCAGCAGGCAUCUCCCCUCUCCUCGGCGGCGCCACCGCCGCCGACCCUCGCCACGCCCAGCAACCACGGCGGUCUGCACGAACAAAGUCGAUCUGUUAUUGUGCAAUAUGCAACCGGGGAAAUGGUAUGGCAGUGAUGAUAAAUUUAAGGCUUGUUUCUCAAAACAUUCGCAGUUGCCGCCUAAGAGCUUUCGCCCAGCCAGGCUUGAGAGCUAAUGCUGCUAAUUCCUUCCUUGGAUGUCUGAGCCUUGUUACCAUCCCCAUUUUGUCUUUGUUUCAGUUUUAUUAGUCUGUUGUCUGCACUGCAUGGCUCUUUGCAUUAAAUGAAGAUCAGUUGAAGGCUUGUUUACAUUUUUGAGUUGCUGCCAUAGUGUUUUUGCUAAUGCUGCCACAUCCUUCCUUUGAAUCUUUUGAGGCUGAAACCAUCAUUUUGUUUAGGGAUCCAUUGUUGAAAAGCAAUGGUGAAGCGUGAGUGCCUAUCAACAAUGUUGAACAAGUGUUCCGUUGCCACCUGAAAGAAUGAGAAGGAAAGAAGGGCAGACUGAGCAUGGAUAUGGAUAUUUUUGUUAUUAGGUGUUAGAAGACCUGUUUGUGUGCAUGUUGUAUGGUUUCUGUGCUGGGUUACCCAACAUGCUUGUGUAUGUACUUCGGUGUGUGCAUGAAGACUAACAGGGUCCUUGUUUGGUCGAGGAUGCCCUUUGUAUUUUUGUUGAACAUUUGUAAUGGAUUUGAGUUCUUUCUAAUAAAGUGUGCUGUUUGGCUCA